RNAcentral lists this long non-coding RNA (813 nucleotides) under Mytilus galloprovincialis (Mediterranean mussel). The record is from RNAcentral. Lineage: Eukaryota; Metazoa; Mollusca; Bivalvia; Mytilida; Mytilidae.
UGAAAUAUUUAUUGACAUUACAAAAUCUUUAGACACUAAAAAGUUUGUAUGAUGACAUUAAUGUAUAUUAUCUUGUUUGGAUCACAAGAACUCAGUUAUCACCCUUGUUUGUUGCUUCUUCAACAUCAGAUAUAUCAUAAAACAAAGAUAAAUAACUCUCACACAAAACAAACAGCUACUCAAUAGGUUCCCUCAAAACAGGCAACAAGUGUUGAAUCUUGCAACUUAUCUUAACUUAUAUAAUUUAUCAUUCCACAUAACUGUCAUACAUUGAAGCAAAACAUUUCAAAAUUCAUACAUUAGGAAAACAUAGUCAAAAUAAAUAAAAUACCUGUCACUUUAAAUGAAAAAUAAUAUGUGAAACAAAACUGUUGAUGAACUCUUCCAUCAUAGAAAACAAAACAUGAACUCAACACUCAAUAAUGAACUCAAAACUACACUGGCAGCAUGCGUUAAGAAAAACAGAGCCAAAAUAAUUAUGCUACAUGUUAUCUCCCCUUAAACUGAAAAUUUCUUUAAAAUGAAUGAGUUACAAUAUGUAUUGAAUUAAUGCCCGACACUUCAAAUGAAACAAUGUAAAACUAACCUAUUGAUGAUCUCUUCAUCAUGUAAAACAAAUAACGAACUCAAUACUCAAUAAUGAACUCAAUACGAUCAUGGCAUUAUACUUUUAAUAGGAAAACAUAGCAAAAACAAGAAUGUGUCCUCAGUACACGAAUGCCCCACUCGCACUAUCAUUUUCUAUGUUCAGUGAACCGUGAAAUUGGGGUAAAAUCUCUAAUUUGGCAUUAAAAUUAGAAAGAUCAUAUCAUA